This 422-nucleotide ribosomal RNA is filed under the name uncultured bacterium. RNAcentral's name for it is "partial 16S ribosomal RNA". It matches the Rfam family "Bacterial small subunit ribosomal RNA", at positions 359 to 773 of the family's 1533-position model. The record is from RNAcentral.
GAAUAUUGGACAAUGGGGGCAACCCUGAUCCAGCCAUGCCGCGUGUGUGAAGAGGGCCUUUUGGUUGUAAAGCACUUUAAGCAGGGAAGAAAAGGCUCUGGCUAAUACCUGGCGCUGCUGACGGUACCUGCAGCAUAAGCACCGGCUAACUCCGUGCCAGCCGCCGCGGUAAUACGUAGGGUGCCAGCGUUAAUCGGACUCACUGGGCGUAAAGCGUGCGCAGGCGGUUCGGCAAGAAGGAUGUGAAAUCCCAGGGCUUAACCUUGGAACUGCAUUCUUAACUGCCGGGCUAGAGUAUGUCAGAGGGGGGUAGAAUUCCGCGUGUAGCAGUGAAAUGCGUAGAGAUGCGGAGGAAUACCGAUGGCGAAGGCAGCCCCCUGGGAUAAUACUGACGCUCAUGCACGAAAGCGUGGGGAGCAAAC